This 1274-nucleotide ribosomal RNA is filed under the name freshwater metagenome. Its description in RNAcentral is "bacterial LSU rRNA". It matches the Rfam family "Bacterial large subunit ribosomal RNA", at positions 928 to 2075 of the family's 2925-position model. The record is from RNAcentral.
CUACAAGCUUACCAACAUCAGCCAAACUCCGAAUGCCGGUAAGUGAGAGCGUGGCAGUGAGACUGUGGGGGAUAAGCUUCAUAGUCGAGAGGGAAACAACCCAGAAUAGCAACUAAGGUCCCAAAGCCUGUGCUAAGUGGAAAAGGAUGUGGAGUCGUAUAGACAACCAGGAUGUUGGCUUAGAAGCAGCCACCAUUUAAAGAGUGCGUAAUAGCUCACUGGUCAAAUGAUUCCGCGCCGACAAUGUAACGGGGCUCAAGCACAGCACCGAAGUUCUAUCAUUCACACAUUAUCCCGGUCGCAAGAUCCAGGAGUGUGGAUGGGUAGGAGAGCGUUGUGUGGCUGGUGAAGCGGCGGAGGAAUCCAGCCGUGGAAGCCACACAAGUGAGAAUGUAGACAUGAGUAGCGAGAGAAGUGUGAGAAACAUUUCCGCCGAAAGACCAAGGGUUCCUGGGCCAGGCUAAUCCGCCCAGGGUAAGUCGGGACCUAAGGCGAGGCCGUCAGGCGUAGUCGAUGGACAACUGGUUGAUAUUCCAGUACCCGCUUUAAUUCGCCCAUGACGAACCCACUAAUGCUAAGAGUUUGAAUCCUGUUCGGCGUAAGCCGCGUGGGUGGAUGGCUCGAACCGGUGUGGUAGUAGUUAAGCAAUGGUGUGACACAGGAAGGCAGUCCAGCCCGGGCGAUGGUUGUCCCGGGGUAAGGCUGUAGGGGGUGUUGUAGGUAAAUCCGCAACACAAAUACCCUGAGAGCUGAUGCCGAGCCGUAAGGCGAAGUGGAUGAUCCUAUGCUGUCAAGAAAAGCAUCUAGCGAGAAUUAUUGCGGCCCGUACCCGAAACCGACACAGGUGGUCAGGUAGAGAAUACCAAGGCGAUCGAGAGAAUCAUGGAUAAGGAACUCGGCAAAAUGCCCCCGUAACUUCGGGAGAAGGGGGGCCCUUCGACGUGUAGGAGUUUACCUCCGAAGCGUUGGAAGGCCGCAGAGACCAGGCUCAAGCGACUGUUUACCAAAAACACAGGUCCGUGCGAAGUAGCAAUACGAUGUAUACGGACUGACGCCUGCCCGGUGCUGGAAGGUUAAGGGGACUGGUUAGCCGCAAGGCGAAGCUGAGAACUUAAGCCCCAGUAAACGGCGGUGGUAACUAUAACCAUCCUAAGGUAGCGAAAUUCCUUGUCGGGUAAGUUCCGACCUGCACGAAUGGCGUAACGACUUGAGCGCUGUCUCAUCCGUAAACUCGGCGAAAUUGCAGUACGAGUAAAGAUGCUCGUUACGCGCAG